CCUACGGGAGGCAGCAGUGGGGAAUUUUGGACAAUGGGCGAAAGCCUGAUCCAGCCAUUCCGCGUGCAGGAUGAAGGCCCCCGGGUUGUAAACUGCUUUUGUACAGAACGAAAAGGUUUCUAUUAAUACUAGGAGCUCAUGACGGUACUGUAAGAAUAAGCACCGGCUAACUACGUGCCAGCAGCCGCGGUAAUACGUAGGGUGCAAGCGUUAAUCGGAAUUACUGGGCGUAAAGCGUGCGCAGGCGGUUAUAUAAGUCAGAUGUGAAAUCCCCGGGCUCAACCUGGGAACUGCAUUUGAGACUGUAUAGCUAGAGUACGGUAGAGGGGGAUGGAAUUCCGCGUGUAGCAGUGAAAUGCGUAGAUAUGCGGAGGAACACCGAUGGCGAAGGCAAUCCCCUGGACCUGUACUGACGCUCAUGCACGAAAGCGUGGGGAGCAAACAGGAUUAGAUACCCUGGUAGUCCACGCCCUAAACGAUGUCAACUGGUUGUUGGGUCUUAACUGACUCAGUAACGAAGCUAAUGCGUGAAGUUGACCGCCUGGGGAGUACGGCCGCAAGGUUGAAACUCAAAUGAAUUGACGG
This 585-nucleotide ribosomal RNA is filed under the name uncultured bacterium. Its description in RNAcentral is "bacterial SSU rRNA". It matches the Rfam family "Bacterial small subunit ribosomal RNA", at positions 338 to 916 of the family's 1533-position model. The record is from RNAcentral.